GGCCUGUGCAGACGCUGCGUUCCGUGCUGAAGCGGCUCGAGCAGGCCUACUGUGGCACAAUUGGGUAUGAGUACAUGCACAUUCCAGACCAUGACAAGUGUAAUUGGCUCAGGGAUAAGAUCGAGACGGUUAACCCAAGGGAGUACACCUAUGACCGUCGCCAGGUCAUGCUCGAUAGGCUUAUCUGGAGCACACAGUUUGAGAAUUUCUUGGCGACCAAGUGGACCACCGCAAAGCGGUUCGGUCUUGAAGGUGCAGAGACUCUGAUCCCUGGCAUGAAGGAGAUGUUUGACAGGGCAGCUGAUCUUGGUGUAGAGAGUAUUGUCAUUGGUAUGCCACACAGAGGCAGGCUGAAUGUUUUGGG
This 364-nucleotide long non-coding RNA is filed under the name Setaria italica (foxtail millet). RNAcentral describes it as "long non-coding RNA (SITA_LNC005178)". Lineage: Eukaryota; Viridiplantae; Streptophyta; Magnoliopsida; Poales; Poaceae. The record is from RNAcentral.